This 253-nucleotide ribosomal RNA is filed under the name uncultured bacterium. RNAcentral's name for it is "partial 16S ribosomal RNA". It matches the Rfam family "Bacterial small subunit ribosomal RNA", at positions 524 to 776 of the family's 1533-position model. The record is from RNAcentral.
UACGGAGGGGGCAAGCGUUAUUCGGAAUUAUUGGGCGUAAAGGGCGCGUAGGCGGCUAGAUGUGUCAAAGGUGAAAUCCCUCGGCUCAACUGAGGAACUGCCUUUGAAACUGUCUGGCUUGAGGCCGGGAGAGGGUAGCGGAAUUCCCAGUGUAGCGGUGAAAUGCGUAGAUAUUGGGAGGAACACCAGUGGCGAAGGCGGCUACCUGGACCGGCUCUGACGCUGAGGCGCGAAAGCGUGGGUAGCAAACAGG